Molecule: non-coding RNA, 1383 nt
Organism: Peromyscus maniculatus bairdii (prairie deer mouse)
Lineage: Eukaryota; Metazoa; Chordata; Mammalia; Rodentia; Cricetidae
Source: RefSeq, a predicted model, not a curated record
GCUGGUGGCAGCAGCAGCACCAGAGAAACAGGAUGCACAAGGAGGUUGGGUAGAAAGGUUGUUUUGAGUUCUCCCUAAGCCUGGCAGAUGCCCGGCCCUGGCAUCCUGCCACGCUCCCCCAUCUAGGAUCCUGGACUGAAGGCUCAUCUCGCUCUCAGCCCAGUGCAGGCUGCUCACUGUUUCCAUUCACAGUUCGGAAUCUGUGUCUCGGAGGCAUAGACUCCUAGAGGCUCCGCGGUGGGAGGGGCUCUGUUGCUGUAAGUCUACAAGCUGGCAUUUCAAAGAACUUCAAAGGGCAGGUGGGGGCCCUAAACCGUGAAGCCGUCUUAGAGUUAAGAGGUGGCAGCUAUGUUGAAUGGGGGAGGAGGAAGAAGUCCACGGAAGACUGAGGCACAUGUUGGGUUCCUGUCUCCAAAUCUUAGCCCUUUGGUAGCUCCAUCUUGUGUCCGUGCUGAGAUGCAGAAGUGGGAAGACAGGCCACUCCCUGUUUGCAGAGCAGGAAAUCGAAGUUCUCCAGCCUGCUGCGUUUUUCUGCAGCCAACCUGUCUGCAACCCCAGGUGUGUGAGGGGAAGCGCGGGCAGGAAAGACUUCGGCUUCCUCUCCCCCCAGCUGUGCUGGGGCUCCACAGGGAAACAGAAAAUGAGAAGAGAAAGCAAGAAUGCUCCGGGUGGUAAGGGCCUGAGCUGGGCCUGGCAGCCAGAGGUCAGCAUUGGGUCCAGCUAGACGGCCAGGCGUAAGAAGAAAAUCUAAAUACAGACGGUUCCUAUCUGACCAUGGGCUCAUCAUGCCCUGCGUCUUAACCCUAAUCAUUAUUGAAGUCUGAAAAAGCCCUGGGGUGGGAACAAAGGUGACAUCUGGCCUUCCCGAUGCUGCCCUCCAUUGUUCCAGGCCCUUCCCUAUGAAACAAACAACACAGGUACCCACAGCUCCAAGAAGGUAAGGCCAACACCUGCUCCCUUUGGUCCUUUUCAUUCCUGACUGUUCCCAACACCCUUGUCCUUCCCCGGGCAUCCAAUGCAAGGUCUUGGUAGCAGCUCCAGCCAUGGGGCCUGGGCUGUAGCUCUGUAGCCAUGCUUCAUCAGGAACAUCCUUUUUUCCUUCGUCCCCCAGCUGAUGUCAGAACCAGCCACCAGGGCCCAAAGGUGGUGGUUUCUCCUAUGACACCCCUCCGACAGUGUGGUUUUUACAUCCUGUCCUGGUUGGUGUGUUUGUCGUCUCCGCCCCCCUCCCACCAUCCAGAGCUUUCCAGGUGCAGUAGCCAAAUUUUGUUUUUCUCUUUCUCCUAGCACAAGACACAGCUCUGAUAAUAUUUGUGUAAUAGUUGAGGCAUGGAUAUUUUCUUUUAAACCAAUGUUUUAAAAACCUUUUUAGCCUCCACCCUC